AUACGGAGGGUGCAAGCGUUACUCGGAAUCACUGGGCGUAAAGCGCGCGCAGGCGGGCUGAUAAGUUGGAUGUGAAAGCCUACGGCUCAACCGUAGAACUGCAUCCAAAACUGUCAGUCUAGAGUGUGGGAGAGGAAGAUGGAAUUAGUUGUGUAGGGGUAAAAUCCGUAGAGAUAACUAGGAAUACCAAAAGCGAAGGCAAUCUUCUGGAACACUACUGACGCUGAGGCGCGAAAGCGUGGGGAGCAAACAGGAUUAGAAACCCUGGUAGUCC
This 274-nucleotide ribosomal RNA is filed under the name uncultured bacterium. RNAcentral's name for it is "partial 16S ribosomal RNA". It matches the Rfam family "Bacterial small subunit ribosomal RNA", at positions 523 to 796 of the family's 1533-position model. The record is from RNAcentral.